This 253-nucleotide ribosomal RNA is filed under the name uncultured bacterium. Its description in RNAcentral is "partial 16S ribosomal RNA". It matches the Rfam family "Bacterial small subunit ribosomal RNA", at positions 524 to 776 of the family's 1533-position model. The record is from RNAcentral.
GACAGAGGUGCCAAGCGUGAGGCGGAAUCACUGGGCUUAAAGCGUGUGUAGGCGGAUCUCUAAGUACCUUGUGAAAUCCCACGGCUCAACCGUGGAACUGCUCGGUAUACUGGGGAUCUUGAGCUGCUUAGGGGUCGUCGGAACAAACGGUGGAGCGGUGAAAUGCGUAGAUAUCGUUUGGAACGCCAAUGGUGAAAACAGACGACUGGGAGCACGCUGACGCUGAGACACGAAAGCCAGGGGAGCGAACGGG